This 229-nucleotide ribosomal RNA is filed under the name uncultured bacterium. Its description in RNAcentral is "partial 16S ribosomal RNA". It matches the Rfam family "Bacterial small subunit ribosomal RNA", at positions 568 to 796 of the family's 1533-position model. The record is from RNAcentral.
UGCGUAGGCGGGGCAAUUAGUCAGUGGUGAAAUACUGCGGCUUAACCGUAGAACUGCCAUUGAUACUGUUGCCCUUGAGUAUAGUUGAGGUGGGCGGAAUGUGUAAUGUAGCGGUGAAAUGCAUAGAGAUUACACAGAACACCAAUUGCGAAGGCAGCUCACUAAGCUAUAACUGACGCUGAGGCACGAAAGCGUGGGGAGCGAACAGGAUUAGAUACCCUGGUAGUCC